This is a long non-coding RNA of Podarcis raffonei (Aeolian wall lizard), 479 nucleotides long. RefSeq lists it as uncharacterized. The transcript has 2 exons. NCBI's taxonomy places the organism in Eukaryota, Metazoa, Chordata, Lepidosauria, Squamata, Lacertidae. The record is from RefSeq and is a predicted model, not a curated record.
GGGAAGGUAAACGGCGUUUCCGUGCGCUGCUCUGGUUUCGCCAGGAGUGGCUUAGUCAUGCUGGCCACAUGACCUGGAAGCUGUACGCUGGCUCCCUCGGCCAAUAAAGCAAGAUGAGCGCCGCAACUCCAGAGUCAGCCACGACUGGACCUAACGGUCAGUGGUCCCUUUACCUUUACCUUUGCUCAAAAGUGACAUGAUAAGAACUCCCCUCCCCAAAAGCUGUCCCUUUGCAUAAGCAAAAGAUGGAACCAGUUAUCAAAUUUUAGGAAGGCCCCAGGCCAAAGUGGGUGAGGGCAGUGAGAGAGGAGAGACAGCUUGGCGGGGCAGAUAGCCAGCGGAGGUUCAAGACCAACAAAUGCCAAGUCCUGGUGCUGCCAGCCAGUAGGAAUCCACCCAGCCUUAGGGAACAUCCAAGCUUCCAUUUGCCCCAAGAUUUCUCGGAAUGGGCCCAAUAGGCUCUCUCUCUCUUUGGUUCC